UGGGGAAUAUUGCACAAUGGGGGAAACCCUGAUGCAGCGACGCCGCGUGAGCGAAGAAGGCUUUCGAGUCGUAAAGCUCUGUCCUAUGAGAAGAUAAUGACGGUAUCAUAGGAGGAAGCCCUGGCUAAAUACGUGCCAGCAGCCGCGGUAAUACGUAUGGGGCGAGCGUUGUCCGGAAUUAUUGGGCGUAAAGGGUACGUAGGCGGUUUGUCACGUCGUCUGUGAAAUCCUAGGGCUUAACCCUGGACGUGCAGGCGAUACGGGCUGACUUGAGUACUACAGGGGAGACUGGAAUUUCUGGUGUAGCGGUGGAAUGCACAGAUAUCAGGAAGAACACCGAUGGCGAAGGCAGGUCUCUGGGUAGUAACUGACGCUGAGGAGCGAAAGCAUGGGUAGCGAACAGG
RNAcentral lists this ribosomal RNA (404 nucleotides) under Verrucomicrobiota bacterium. RNAcentral describes it as "Verrucomicrobia bacterium partial 16S ribosomal RNA". It matches the Rfam family "Bacterial small subunit ribosomal RNA", at positions 355 to 776 of the family's 1533-position model. The record is from RNAcentral. Lineage: Bacteria; Pseudomonadati; Verrucomicrobiota.